GGUCUGCCUUUAUAUGUUACUUGGCCUUUUUCCCUUACUGCUUUUAAUAUUCUUUCUUUGUUUUGUGCAUUUGUUGUUUUGACUAUUAUGUGAUGGGAGGAGUUUCUUUUCUGGUCCAAUCUAUUUGGAGUUCUGUAGGCUUCUUGUAUGUUUAUGGGCAUCUCUUUCUUUAGGUUAGGGAAGUUUUCUUCUAUGAUUUUGUUGAAGAUAUUUACUGGCCCUUUGAGUUGGGAGUUUUCACUCUCUUCUAUACCUAUUAUCCUUAGGUUUGAUCUUCUCAUUGAGUCCUGGAUUUCCUGUAUAUUUUGGGCCAGUAAACAGUUUUUCUUUGACAGUUGUGUCAAUGAUUUCUAUGGAAUCUUCAGCUCCUGGGAUUCUCUCUUCUAUCUCUUGUAUUCUGUUGGUGAUGCUUGUAUCUAUGGCUCCUUGUCUCUUCCUUUGGUUUUCUAUAUUCAGGGUUGUCUGCCUUUGUGCUUUCUUUAUUGUUUCUAUUUCCAUUUUCAAUUCCUUUACCUGUUUGAUUGUGUUUUCCUAUAAUUCUUUCAGGGAUUUUUGUGUUUCCUCUCUAAGGGUUUCUACUUGUUUACUUGUGUUUCCCUGCAUUUCUCUAAGGGAGUUCUUCACGUCUUUCUUGAAGUCCUCCAGCAUCAUGAUCAAAUAUGAUUUUGAAACUAGAUCUUGCUUUUCUGGUGUGUUUGGAUAUUCAGUGUUUGCUUUGGUGGGAGAAUUGGGCUCUGAUGAUGCCUUGUAGUCUUUGGUUUCUGUUGCUUGAGUUCCUGCGCUUGCCUCUCACCAUCAGGUUGUCUCUGGUGUUACCUUGUUCUGCUAUUUCUGACAGUGGCUGGACCGUCCUAUAGGCCUGUGUGUCAGGAGUGCUGUAGACAUGUUUUCCUGUUUUCUUUCAGCCAGUUAUAGGAACAGAGUGUUCUGCUUUCAGGCGUGUAGUCGUUCCUGUCUACUGGUCUUCAGCUGUUCCUGUGAGCGUGUGUCCUGCCACCACCAGACAGGUCACUUGGAGCUGAAAAGUUGGUCUUACCUCUGGUCUCAGGCCUGAAGUUGCUCCUCAGAGCUAGGUUUCAUCUCUCUGUAAGGGCAGCAACCAGAAAAGCCUGCCCUUACUUCUGGGUCCCUGUCCACAGGGGGCCCAGAUGGCGCUAGGCGUUUUUCUCUAUGCGUCUGCCCCUCUGAAGGUCUAGUUCUCCCUCCCACGGGAUUUGGGUGCAGGGAGCUGUUUGACCGGGUCCCUUCAGAUCCGGGUGCAGUCUGAACCACAGGGCUUCUGCAGCUUGAGUGCCCCUAUCUUCCCCCAGCUUGGCUUUUAAAGAUUUCAAUUCUCUGAAUGCCCCCCAAUCCUUCCAAUAAAUUAUCCUCUAAAAGUGGGUUUCUGUGACUUACAACCAACUAAUAAAGUACUGGAUAGUAAACAUGUCAUUAUAAUCAGGGUAGCAGUAAUAAGUUAGAGACAGUAUCUUCUACCUGAUGGAGUUGAUAUGAUUUGACACAUUCUGUGGGACAGGGCUCUCGUGCUCAACAAUGGGCUAUGCUAAUUUGUAUGAGAUGUCUACUCAUUCCUACAGAGUAGAAAAUCAAUAAAAAGUAUUCCGUAAUUGUAUAAAAAUUAAAAGCCCCUAGGUUUGCCAGUGUCGAUGGGGAAUGUCUUUCGGGAGCAGGAGAGCAGGGCCGUGAGCAGGCAGGCAGAAGCUGUAAGCAAGGGCUUUAGCUGGGGCUGUCAGUUAGUCCAUGAGCAUACCCAGCUGCCUGAAGAAGUUCGUGUUCUCUUUCCUAUAAGAACAACAUGUAAUUGACUCUGUGCAGUUGGCAUAGGUGACUUGGUUUUGUUUGUUUGUUUGUUUGUUUGUUUGUUUUCUUUUUUUUUUCGGAGCUAGGGACCAAACCCAGGGCCUUACCACUGAGCUAAAUUCCCAACCCCGGCAUAGGUGACUUGUAAGCAAUGUCGAACCCAUCCCUCAAGACUGUCCAGGGAUUCAACAUAAAUAAAGCUGGGAACUCUGGAGUUAGUGCUUUUCUGACCUGAAAGAUCAGGCAAAGGUCUAAAAUCUAGGAAAGAAAAACAAAGGAACACCAGCCAUGGGGAACCAAAACAAAUGUAGCAAUCUUUCCAGUAACCACUGGAGCGGGAAGAUACACAAACCCAAGAAGAGCAGAAGCAGUGAGUAGGAAGGAGCCCUAUAGAGCGACAGCCACAGAAUCUAUUUGUCGUUCCCAGCCUAUUCUUAUAAGACCAUCUUCCAUGCCUGUACACAGUCAGGAGCACGAAAAGGACCAGUGAAUGAGGUCGUCAAAGACAGAAACUGAUUCUGGAUAAAGGAUUCCGCAGCUGGUAACAAAGAAGAGAUUAUUCAAGCAGAGUUAGUCUUCGGUGUCCUCGUUUGCUCAUUCCUGCGCCUGUCUGCUGUCUCCUACCCUCUCUAGCUCUCUGAACACCCACACUGAGAUGCAUCUCGGGAUGAGGACAGGAGACCUCUAGCCAUCAAGCCUGCUCUCAUAGCAUGGACAUUAAAAGGUGACUAAACAUGAGGGGAAAGUGACAGAGGUAGUCUGAAGGAUUCAGCUGUUUGUGGGAGCUGGGUGUCAUCUCCACCUACUCACCUUUGUUUGCCUGCUGUAUUGCUUGUGUGUGUGUGUGUGUGUGUGUGUGUGUGUGUGUGUGUGUGUGUGUGUGCGUUAGAGAGUUGUAUGUGCUGUGGUAUACAUGUGGAAGUGAGAAGGCAGCAUUGUAGAAACUGUGCUUUCUCUCCACC
Molecule: non-coding RNA, 2762 nt
Organism: Rattus norvegicus (Norway rat)
Lineage: Eukaryota; Metazoa; Chordata; Mammalia; Rodentia; Muridae
Source: RefSeq, a predicted model, not a curated record